Molecule: ribosomal RNA, 262 nt
Filed under: uncultured Prevotella sp.
Lineage: Bacteria; Pseudomonadati; Bacteroidota; Bacteroidia; Bacteroidales; Prevotellaceae
Description: partial 16S ribosomal RNA
Rfam family: Bacterial small subunit ribosomal RNA
Source: RNAcentral
CCGGCGCACGGGUGAGUAACGCGUAUCCAACCUGCCUCUGACUGAGGGAUAACCCGUCGAAAGUCGGCCUAAUACCUCAUGGCAUCGUCUGCGGGCAUCCAACGACGAUUAAAGAUUUCAUCGGUCAGGGAUGGGGAUGCGUCUGAUUAGCUUGUUGGCGGGGUAACGGCCCACCAAGGCUACGAUCAGUAGGGGUUCUGAGAGGAAGGUCCCCCACAUUGGAACUGAGACACGGUCCAAACUCCUACGGGAGGCAGCAGCG